AGAGUUUGAUCCUGGCUCAGGAUGAACGCUAGCUACAGGCUUAACACAUGCAAGUCGAGGGGAAACGACAUCGAAAGCUUGCUUUUGAUGGGCGUCGACCGGCGCACGGGUGAGUAACGCGUAUCCAACCUGCCCAUCACUUGGGGAUAACCUUGCGAAAGUAAGACUAAUACCCAAUGAUAUCUCUAGAAGGCAUCUGAAAGAGAUUAAAGAUUUAUCGGUGAUGGAUGGGGAUGCGUCUGAUUAGCUUGUUGGCGGGGUAACGGCCCACCAAGGCGACGAUCAGUAGGGGUUCUGAGAGGAAGGUCCCCCACAUUGGAACUGAGACACGGUCCAAACUCCUACGGGAGGCAGCAGUGAGGAAUAUUGGUCAAUGGACGAGAGUCUGAACCAGCCAAGUAGCGUGCAGGAAGACGGCCCUAUGGGUUGUAAACUGCUUUUAUAAGGGAAUAAAGUGAGUCUCGUGAGACUUUUUGCAUGUACCUUAUGAAUAAGGACCGGCUAAUUCCGUGCCAGCAGCCGCGGUAAUACGGAAGGUCCGGGCGUUAUCCGGAUUUAUUGGGUUUAAAGGGAGCGUAGGCCGGAGAUUAAGCGUGUUGUGAAAUGUAGACGCUCAACGUCUGCACUGCAGCGCGAACUGGUUUCCUUGAGUACGCACAAAGUGGGCGGAAUUCGCGGUGUAGCGGUGAAAUGCUUAGAUAUCACGAAGAACUCCGAUUGCGAAGGCAGCUCACUGGAGCGCAACUGACGCUGAAGCUCGAAAGUGCGGGUAUCGAACAGGAUUAGAUACCCUGGUAGUCCGCACGGUAAACGAUGGAUGCCCGCUGUUGGUCUGAAUAGGUCAGCGGCCAAGCGAAAGCAUUAAGCAUCCCACCUGGGGAGUACGCCGGCAACGGUGAA
Molecule: ribosomal RNA, 900 nt
Filed under: uncultured bacterium
Lineage: Bacteria
Description: bacterial SSU rRNA
Rfam family: Bacterial small subunit ribosomal RNA
Source: RNAcentral